RNAcentral lists this ribosomal RNA (1944 nucleotides) under Triticum aestivum (bread wheat). RNAcentral's name for it is "partial small subunit ribosomal RNA". Lineage: Eukaryota; Viridiplantae; Streptophyta; Magnoliopsida; Poales; Poaceae. The record is from RNAcentral.
AUGGUGCGAUCUAUGAUGUCUCUUACCGAUUUACCGCUAUCUUUUUGGGGCUAUGCUUUAGAGACUGCCGCAUUCACUUUAAAUAGGGCUCCGUCGAAAUCCGUUGAGACGACACCGUAUGAAUUAUGGUUUGGGAAGAAACCUAAGCUGUCGUUUCUAAAAGUUUGGGGAUGCGAUGCUUAUGUCAAGAAACUUCAACCUGAAAAGCUCGAACCCAAAUCGGAAAAAUGUGUCUUCAUAGGAUACCCUAAAGAAACUAUUGGGUAUACCUUCUACCUCAGAUCCGAAGGCAAGAUCUUUGUUGCCAAGAAUGGAUCCUUUCUGGAGAAAGAGUUUCUCUCGAAAGAAGUAAGUGGGAGGAAAGUAGAACUUGAUGAAGUAUUACCUCUUGAACCGGAAAAUGGCGCAACUCAAGAAAAUGUUCCUGAGGUGCCUGCACCGACUAGAGAGGAAGUUAAUGAUGAUGAUCAAGAUACUUUUGAUCAAGCUCCUACUGAAAUUCGAAGGUCCACAAGGACACGUUCCGCACCAGAGUGGUACGGCAACCCUGUCUUGAAAAUCAUGUUGUUAGACAACGAUGAACCUUCGAACUAUGAAGAAGCGAUGGCGGGCCCGGAUUCCGACAAAUGGCUAGAAGCCAUGAAAUCCGAGAUAGGAUCCAUGUAUGAAAACGAAGUAUGGACUUUGACUGACUUGCCCGUUGAGCGGCGAGCCAUAGAAAAUAAAUGGAUCUUUAAGAAGAAGACAGACGCGGAUGGUAAUGUGACCAUCUAUAAAGCUCGGCUUGUCGCUAAGGGUUAUCGACAAGUUCAAGGGGUUGACUAUGAUGAGACUUUCUCACCGGUAGCGAAGCUAAAGUUUGUCCGAAUCUUGUUAGCAAUUGCCGCAUUCUAUGAUUAUGAAAUAUGGCAAAUGGACGUCAAAACGGCAUUCCUUAAUGGUUUCCUUAAGGAAGAAUUGUAUAUGAUGCAGCCGAAAGGUUUUGUCGAUCCUAAGAAUGCUGACAAGGUGUGCAAGCUCCAAUGCUCGAUUUAUGGGCUGGUGCAAGCAUCUCGGAGUUGGAACAUUCGCUUUGAUGAGAUGAUCAAAGCGUUUGGGUUUACGCAGACUUAUGGAGAAGCCUGUGUUUACAAGAAAGUGAGUGGGAGCUCUGUAGCAUUUCUCAUAUUAUAUGUAGAUGACAUACUUUUGAUGGGAAAUGAUAUAGAACUCUUGGACAACAUUAAGGCCUACUUGAAUAAGAGUUUUUCAAUGAAGGACCUUGGAGAAGCUGCUUAUAUAUUAGGCAUCAAGAUCUACAGAGAUAGAUCAAGACGCCUCAUAGGUCUUUCACAAAGCACAUACCUUGAUAAGAUAUUGAAGAAGUUCAAUAUGGAUCAGUCUAAGAAGGGGUUCCUGCCUGUGUUACAAGGUGUGAAAUUGAGCUCAGCUCAAUGUCCGACCACGGCAGAAGAUAUAGAAGAGAUGAGUGUCAUCCCCUAUGCCUCAGCCAUAGGUUCUAUUAUGUAUGCCAUGCUGUGUAUCAGACCUGAUGUAAAUUUUGCCGUAAGUUUGGUAGGAAGGUACCAAAGUAAUCCCGGCAAGGAACACCGGACAGCGGUCAAGAAUAUCCUGAAGUACCUAAAAAGGACUAAGGAAAUGUUUCUCGUCUAUGGAGGUGACGAAGAGCUCGUCGUAAAGGGUUAUGUCGACGCUAGCUUCGACACAGAUCUGGAUGACUCAAAGUCACAAACCGGAUACGUGUAUAUUUUGAAUGGUGGGGCAGUAAGCUGGUGCAGUUGCAAGCAGAGCGUCGUGGCGGGAUCUACAUGUGAAGCGGAGUACAUGGCAGCCUCAGAGGCAGCACAUGAAGCAAUUUGGGUGAAGGAGUUCAUCACCGACCUAGGAGUCAUACCCAAUGCGUCGGGGCCGAUCAAGCUCUUCUGUGACAACACUGGAGCUAUU